Molecule: ribosomal RNA, 253 nt
Filed under: uncultured bacterium
Lineage: Bacteria
Description: partial 16S ribosomal RNA
Rfam family: Bacterial small subunit ribosomal RNA
Source: RNAcentral
UACGGAGGGUGCAAGCGUUGUUCGGAAUUAUUGGGCGUAAAGCGCGUGUAGGCGGCUAUUUAAGUCUGAUGUGAAAGCCCGGGGCUCAACCUCGGAAGUGCAUUGGAAACUGGAUAGCUUGAGUACGGGAGAGGUAAGCGGAAUUUCCUGUGUAGCGGUGAAAUGCGUAGAUAUAGGAAGGAACACCGGUGGCGAAGGCGGCUACCUGGACCGAUACUGACGCUGAGACGCGAAAGCGUGGGGAGCAAACAGG